RNAcentral lists this ribosomal RNA (500 nucleotides) under uncultured bacterium. RNAcentral describes it as "partial 16S ribosomal RNA". It matches the Rfam family "Bacterial small subunit ribosomal RNA", at positions 29 to 523 of the family's 1533-position model. The record is from RNAcentral.
AUUGAACGCUGGCGGAAUGCUUUACACAUGCAAGUCGAGCGGCAGCACGGGGGCAACCCUGGUGGCGAGUGGCGAACGGGUGAGUAAUACAUCGGAACGUGCCCAGUCGUGGGGGAUAACGUCGCGAAAGUUACGCUAAUACCGCAUACGACCUACGGAUGAAAGCGGGGGACCGUAAGUCCUCGCGCGAUUGGAGCGGCCGAGGUCAGAUUAGGUAGUUGGUGAGGUAAAGGCUCACCAAGCCGACGAUCUGCAGCUGGUCUGAGAGGACGACCAGCCACACUGGGACUGAGACACGGCCCAGACUCCUACGGGAGGCAGCAGUGGGGAAUUUUGGACAAGGGGCGCAAGCCUGAUCCAGCCAUUCCGCGUGCAGGACGAAGGCCUUCGGGUUGUAAACCGCUUUUGUACGGAACGAAAAGGCUCUGGUUAAUACCUGGGGCUCAUGACGGUACCGUAAGAAUAAGCACCGGCUAACUACGUGCCAGCAGCCGCAGUAA